AUCCAUUCCUGCAAGCCCAAACUGCAAGAAAAUAACAGCAAGGAAGGGCUUUGCCCUGAUAAACAGUUCACUUGUGGUCAUGCUUCGUGGUUCAACUUGCUGAGAACUUCAGGUAUGGCUCGUUAGACUUCUUAAAUGGUAGCUACAUCUAUAUAUAAUGGAUGGAACAUUAUUUUAAAUGCCUUUUAUUUUUUACCUUUCUCAGUCUGCCACGUAGGAAUGAAGGGUUCCGCUAAUAAUAUGCAUGGACAUACUAAUUACUGAAGAAUCUUGCACGGUGAACAACAUCCUGAUAACUUGGACUAUUGAUGACUCCACCUCAGACAACACUAAAAAAACAUUAGUAAUUUAUGCAGCCUGAUUGUUUGCUAAAGUGCAAGGAUCACUGUUGUGAUGGAGUUGUUUUUGCAAUGAUCUACAAAAAUUCCUUCAGCAACAUGUCUUGUUGGUUUACCAUGUCUAGUUUUAACUUAUCAAUGGUAUUGGAUGUGGCAUAAUGAUGUUUUUAUAUUUAGCUUUACCUUUAAAUUGGAACUCCUCGUAAGGAUUGAAGUCCACAAUAAAUUGCAUGAAUACAUUUCUUCUAUAGUACCUAACUUAGUCAUGUUUUGCAGGGUGGAUUAUUAUGGUGUAUCGAUUAGCUUACAUCAGAAACUGCUGCCUUUUCUGUUGCAGACAUGAAGAAUGGUCUACAAUUGUGACGUACCAAUAAUCGUAGUAAGUUUUUGGUAAUGAGUUGGUGUAAAUUAAAGACAACGAUGAAAAGGUUUUGUGUAGUGCGAUAAUUAAAUAGUAACAACACUGCUAAGCAGAAAAAUGGGCUCACCCCUGCUUUGGAUUUGUUACUUGAUUCCUACAUAGUAGUCAAGGCACUUAAUCCCACUACUUAGUACUUUGUUAUCUUGUGCUUUAUGCAUUGGCAAUGCACCAAACACUCCCAUCUCCAAAUUGAGAACACUUUUUUUUAGUCAUUUGGAGUCCGACUAUCUGGCUUCUUGUGUGCAUCUGUUAUACAUAAGUUUAUGUGCAUCUAUUAUGCAUGUUUUGUGUGCAUCUGUUAUACACAAGUGUUGUGUGCAUUGUAGUAGGCAAACAUUUGUAAAAUUAAUGCGUAGAGUAGUACUCCCUCCGUUUUAAAAUAUAAGAUCAUUAUUGACUUUUGAAAGUCAACUUAUGACAUUUUCAAACUCAAAAUUGAGAUGAUUCAUUAAAAAUUAAGGGACAAUAUAUCUUAAAAUGAGGAUUAUUUUUUUAGAUAAUUUACAAAUUUUAUCAUUCUACUGAUU
RNAcentral lists this long non-coding RNA (1286 nucleotides) under Panax ginseng (ginseng). RNAcentral describes it as "long non-coding RNA (PGIN_LNC004251)". Lineage: Eukaryota; Viridiplantae; Streptophyta; Magnoliopsida; Apiales; Araliaceae. The record is from RNAcentral.